ACUUGGGGGAAAAACUUUGUAAUUCCCCUCUGUACCUUUAAUUGACAUACACCCCA
This 56-nucleotide transfer RNA is filed under the name Plantago coronopus. RNAcentral's name for it is "partial tRNA-Leu". Lineage: Eukaryota; Viridiplantae; Streptophyta; Magnoliopsida; Lamiales; Plantaginaceae. The record is from RNAcentral.